UAAUACGUAGGGUGCGAGCGUUAAUCGGAAUUACUGGGCGUAAAGCGUGCGCAGGCGGUUCUCCAAGUCCGUUGUGAAAGCCCCGGGCUCAACCUGGGAAUGGCAGUGGAAACUAGGGGACUGGAAUCUGGCAGAGGGGGGUGGAAUGCCGCGUGUAGCAGUGAAAUGCGUAGAGAUGCGGCGGAACACCGAUGGCGAAGGCAGCCCCCUGGGCUGAGAUUGACGCUCAGGCACGAAAGCGUGGGGAGCAAACAGGAUUAGAUACCCCGGUAGUCCUGGCCCUAAACGAUGAAUGCUUGGUGUGGCGGGUAUCGAUCCCUGCCGUGCCGAAGCUAACGCAUUAAGCAUUCCGCCUGGGGAGUACGGUCGCAAGGCUG
RNAcentral lists this ribosomal RNA (377 nucleotides) under uncultured bacterium. Its description in RNAcentral is "bacterial SSU rRNA". It matches the Rfam family "Bacterial small subunit ribosomal RNA", at positions 521 to 896 of the family's 1533-position model. The record is from RNAcentral.